UGCUGCAGUAAAAAGGUUUCAUGUGAAGUACAUAUAUAGUAUGGGAUGUGCUGUAUAAGAACUGACCAUUGUUAUUUUUCUACUUAUUUAAAAUGCGGUCUUUAUAGUAUUUUAUAUUAUGUUAAUACCCCAUCUCUUUAAAAUGCUGCAGUAAAAAGAUUUACAUUGAAUUACACAUAUACUAUGGGAUGUCCUGUAUAAGAACUGACCAUUGUUUUUUCUACUUAUUUAAAAUAAACUCUUUAUAGUACUUUAUAUUAUUUUAAUACCCCGUUUCUUUAAAAUGCUGCAGUAAAAAGCUUUUAUGUGAAGUACACACAUAGAUUAGGAUGUCCUGUAUAAGAUCUGACCAUUGUUUUUUUCUACUUAUUUGAAUUGGGUUUUUUAUAGCACUUUAAAAUAUGUUAAUACCCUGUUCCUCCAAAACACUGUAGUUAAAAGUUUUCUUGUGUAGUAAAGAUAUAGUAUGGUAUGUCCUGUAUAAGAACUGACCAUUGUUUUUUCCUACUUAUUUGAAAUGUAGUCUUUAUAGCACUUUUUAUUAGGUCAUUAGCCCGUUUCUCUAAAACAGUGCAGUAAAAAGAUUUCAUAUUAAGUACACAUAUAGCAUAGGAUGUUCUGUACAGGAACUGAUCAUUGUUUUUGUCUACUUAUUGUAAAUUGGGUCUUUAUAACACUGAGUAAUGUUAAUACCCAAUUUCUCCAAAACACUGCAGUAACAAGUCUUUAUUUGAAGUUUAGAAUGUGAUGUCCUGUAUCAGACCUGACUAUUGUUUUUUCUACAUAUUUUAAAUGAGCAAUUUUUUUCCAAAUUGCUGAAGUAAAAAGUAUUCAGAUGUAGUAUAUAUGCAUAUAGCAUGGGACAUCCAGUAUCGAACCAGAUCAGUCUUUUAUUUAACUUAUGUCAAACAAUGUAUUUAUAGCACUUUAAAGACUUUAUAGCUCAAUAAUAGCACAUUUCUCCAAAAUGCUGCAGUAAGUUAUUAUGAGGUAUGCAUAUAAUAUUGGAUGUCCUGUCCAUUGUUUUCUUCUGCUCACCUAAAUGAGGUCUUUUACAUGAGGUAUGCAUGUACAUCCUGUAUCAGAACCAAACUUUGUUUUUUUCUACUUAUUUUUUUAUAGCACUUUAAAGCGUGUUAAUGGUACAUUUCUCCAAAAUACUGCAGUAAAACAGGCUUCAUAUGAUGUAUGCUUAGUAUUUGACUUCCUGCAUCAGAUCUUAUUGUUGUUCUAUUCUACUUAUAACAAAUAAUAAGGUCUUUACAGUCAUCUAAAGUGUAAUAAUGCCCCAUAUCCCAUAUACUGAAAGAAGCAUAACCUUUUAAAUCCCCUUUAAAUGAAAUAAACAUAAAUUUGUAAUUCAAACAAUGUUUUGUUGGACUACUUUAUGAUUGUUUUCACUUUCUGAGGUUAGCCACGUUGUAUAAAAUUGCAUUCAACCUUAUUUGCAAUGUACUGUAGUUGGUUAGGAGAAGUAGAAACGCAUUCUGUGUAUUUAGAAAUCGUAUAUUUAUUCUGUCCGUUUGAUCUGCUAUAAAAUCAUUUGAAGCAAAAAGAUAAACUUGAGGAAAUUAAAGGUAAGCCCAGAAACCAAUUUCUUAAAAUAACAACAGUCAAAAAAAGCUAAUGAAUUGUUUAAUAAAGCAUUCGUGGGAGGAAAGGGGGAUAAACUUAUAUAUCGUUGUCUCUGUUCUGGGCGAAAUG
This 1704-nucleotide long non-coding RNA is filed under the name Danio rerio (zebrafish). RNAcentral's name for it is "lncRNA si:dkey-22a24.7 (ENSDARG00000104512.2)". Lineage: Eukaryota; Metazoa; Chordata; Actinopteri; Cypriniformes; Danionidae. The record is from RNAcentral.